GACCCGUCUUGAACCAAGGAGUCUAGCAUGUGCGCGAGUCAUUGGGAACAUCUAAACCUAAAGGCGCAAUGAAAGUGAAGGUUCCGCCUCGAGCGGACCGAGGGAGGAUGGGCGGCGGGCUUUUGUACGUCGCCUCGCACUCCCGGGGCGUCUCGCACUCAUCGCGAGGCGAGGCGCACCACGAGCGUACACGCUGGGACCCGAAAGAUGGUGAACUAUGCCUGGUCAGGACGAAGUCAGGGGAAACCCUGAUGGAGGUCCGUAGCGAUUCUGACGUGCAAAUCGAUCGUCGGAACUGGGUAUAGGGGCGAAAGACUAAUCGACCAUCUAGUAGCUGGUUCCUUCCGA
This 348-nucleotide ribosomal RNA is filed under the name Cybister fimbriolatus. RNAcentral's name for it is "eukaryotic LSU rRNA". It matches the Rfam family "Eukaryotic large subunit ribosomal RNA", at positions 665 to 964 of the family's 3401-position model. The record is from RNAcentral. Lineage: Eukaryota; Metazoa; Arthropoda; Insecta; Coleoptera; Dytiscidae.